RNAcentral lists this ribosomal RNA (253 nucleotides) under uncultured bacterium. RNAcentral describes it as "partial 16S ribosomal RNA". It matches the Rfam family "Bacterial small subunit ribosomal RNA", at positions 524 to 776 of the family's 1533-position model. The record is from RNAcentral.
UACGUAGGGUGCGAGCGUUGUCCGGAAUUACUGGGCGUAAAGAGCUCGUAGGUGGUUUGUCGCGUUGUUCGUGAAAACUCACAGCUCAACUGUGGGCGUGCGGGCGAUACGGGCAGACUGGAGUACUGCAGGGGAGACUGGAAUUCCUGGUGUAGCGGUGGAAUGCGCAGAUAUCAGGAGGAACACCGAUGGCGAAGGCAGGUCUCUGGGCAUUAACUGACGCUGAGGAGCGAAAGCAUGGGGAGCGAACAGG